GGAGAGGUUCCCGAGUGGCCAAAGGGGACAGACUGUAAAUCUGCUGCUUCUUGCUUCGGUGGUUCGAAUCCACCCCUCUCCACCA
This 85-nucleotide transfer RNA is filed under the name Bacillota bacterium. RNAcentral describes it as "tRNA-Tyr". It matches the Rfam family "tRNA". From Rfam's summary of the family: Transfer RNA (tRNA) molecules are approximately 80 nucleotides in length. Their secondary structure includes four short double-helical elements and three loops (D, anti-codon, and T loops). Further hydrogen bonds mediate the characteristic L-shaped molecular structure. tRNAs have two regions of fundamental functional importance: the anti-codon, which is responsible for specific mRNA codon recognition, and the 3' end, to which the tRNAs corresponding amino acid is attached (by aminoacyl-tRNA synthetases). tRNAs cope with the degeneracy of the genetic code in two manners: having more than one tRNA (with a specific anti-codon) for a particular amino acid; and 'wobble' base-pairing, i.e. permitting non-standard base-pairing at the 3rd anti-codon position. The record is from RNAcentral. Lineage: Bacteria; Bacillati; Bacillota.